AUCAUUAUGGUCGAAACUGAGUUUGAACAGAAUAUUUUUUGUGAAAUGACAUCAAUAUAUAUGUAUGGUUAAGAAGAAAAUCCAUGGACACGUACGUGUACAUAACAAUUUCAGCUUUCAACAAUUCUUUGAAGGAUCUUUUUAGCCUGAGCAAGGCUGUCCAUGUGACCAACUUCCGAAACCCAUAUAUUCUGCAUGGGAAGCAUCACCAUAUCCAGCUCAGUCAAAUGAGUCUCCAGCUGCCUGAUAGCGUCUGAAUUCAUCAAACUGCCAACAACCGUCACAAGGGUGUUGCAGCAAGCUUUGAGGAUGAGGGACUGAAAGAAAUCUCGAUCCAAACUACUUAUUAUCUUCUCAGACUGGGACGAAAAAACAAGAUCUUGACAUGUUGAAUCAAACGUGGAGGCAUGGUUUCUCACUGUGACCGUGCCAUGCCGCUUCAUUAUACUCCUUAAACUGCUACAUGCUUGCUUUUUCCUGGUCUUCCUUGACUUCUUGCAUGUUUCAGCAUAGGCUUCACCUCUAAGUUCUUCAUCAUAUAACCCCAGAAAA
This 552-nucleotide unclassified non-coding RNA is filed under the name Hevea brasiliensis (rubber tree). The record is from RNAcentral. Lineage: Eukaryota; Viridiplantae; Streptophyta; Magnoliopsida; Malpighiales; Euphorbiaceae.